CGCGAAUGGCUCAUUACAACAGCUAUAAUUUACUUGAUCUUGACACUAUCCUACUUGGAUAACUGUGGUAAUUCUAGAGCUAAUACAUGCAUUAAAGCUCUGACCUCACGGGAAGAGUGCACUUAUUAGAACAAAACCAAGCGGCUUCGGCUGUUUCUGGUUGACUCAUAGUAACUGAGCUGAUCGCGUGGUCUUGUACCGGCGACGUGUCUUUCAAGUAUCUGCCGUAUCAACUUUCGAUGGUAGUGUAUCUGACUACCAUGGUGAUCACGCGUAACGGAGAAUAAGGGUUCGGCUCCGGAGAGUUCGCCUGAGAAAUCGCGAACACAUCUAAGGAAGGCAGCAGGCGCGAAAAUUACCCACUCUCAGCACGAGGAGGUAGUGACGAAAAAUAACGAGACCGUUCUCUUAUGAGGCCGGUCAUCGGAAUGGGUACAAUUUAAACCCUUUAACGAGUAUCUAUGAGAGGGCAAGUCUGUGCCAGCAGCCGCGGUAAUUCCAGCU
Molecule: ribosomal RNA, 504 nt
Filed under: Acrobeloides sp. PS-1146
Lineage: Eukaryota; Metazoa; Nematoda; Chromadorea; Rhabditida; Cephalobidae
Description: SSU rRNA
Rfam family: Eukaryotic small subunit ribosomal RNA
Source: RNAcentral